GCGGCCUGCCCCUCAGCCUCCUCCGCGCGGUUACCCCUGUACCCGCCGCCAUCCGUCCUGGCGCUCCGGAUGAGUCAAUGAGGGGCAGGGCCCGAGGAGUGGUCUUCCCAAGAACCCCUGGUGGCCUCCCAAGGCCGGCCUCGUGGGCUGUGCGGCUAUCCUGGAGACAGAUGACAGCUCUCCCUUGGAUGGCUUUGCUGGUUCCGCACCAGCCAGCGCCCCCAUUUUUCCUGCAGCACCCUGAUCUGCACUCCCUGAGGGGCUCCCACUGUCCGCGGUGUGAGGAUGUCCCUGGAAAUUGGUCUUCUGUGACUUUCUUGAUGGGGGCAGAUGAGAUCUUUGUACUGCAUUAAGUGGAUAGCGCUCAGGUCCUUUGGGCUUGGCGCUUUGGCAAUCUCCAGGCAGCUCACUUUGGCCUCUGUUCCUGGAUCCCCUUUGCUCUUUUCUGCGCCUGCAUUCAUAGUCCACUGUGUGCAGAGGCAUGGGAGUUGUCAUGUUGGGAACAUGCUAGACCUCAGUAUCCUUGAGGGAUGCUGCCUUGGGUCUGGAAACUGUUAGAGGAAACCCCAAGAGGUGCAGGCACUGAGCCUCUCAGGACAAUGACCUGGGGUCCCAGCUCCCCUGGAGGGGCCUCCUCAUGAUUGUUUGGGGGUUGAUCACAGACCAAGAGUGACGAGUGAUGUCACCCUGUGACUCAUGGCUGGACCUUCUUGCCCCUAUUGUCUCAGCACAACAUUAUUCGACUUUUCCCUCAGCGUGGGUGGGCAGAGGAAAAGCCCUGUGGCUCUGGGGACUUGGGAUCCAGAGUUGAAGACCCUUCAGCUGGCUCUGCCCUGCCAGUGCCACAGAGUGCCAUGGCCCAGGAAGACAGGUUUUCUUCCAUCUAGGCCAGGCCAUCCAGUGGCCAUCCUCCGUGUCCUCCCGCCUCCUCCUGGUGUGACUUCUGAAAACCAAGAAUUUGUUCCUGUUGACUUUUUCUGUGCUAUGGACCAUUGUCCUCUCACCCACUCAAUAAAUCUUGAAACAUGCCCUGCU
RNAcentral lists this long non-coding RNA (1035 nucleotides) under Homo sapiens (human). RNAcentral describes it as "PREDICTED lncRNA (TCONS_00167644)". Lineage: Eukaryota; Metazoa; Chordata; Mammalia; Primates; Hominidae. The record is from RNAcentral.